This 452-nucleotide ribosomal RNA is filed under the name uncultured bacterium. RNAcentral's name for it is "SSU rRNA". It matches the Rfam family "Bacterial small subunit ribosomal RNA", at positions 26 to 518 of the family's 1533-position model. The record is from RNAcentral.
AGGAUGAACGCUGGCGGCGUGCCUAAAACAUGCAAGUCAUACGGGCUACCUCCGGGUAGCCAGUGGCAAACGGGUGAGUAACGCGUGGGAACGCGCCUUGGGGUGGGGAAUAACGCUGAGAAAUCAGUGCUAAUACCGCAUAUGGUCUAACAACUAAAGCAGCAAUGCGCCCCGAGAGCGGCCCGCGACCGAUUAGCUAGUUGGUGGGGUAAUGGCCUACCAAGGCGGUGAUCGGUAGCUGGUCUGAGAGGAUGGUCAGCCACACUGGGACUGCGAACGGCCCAGACUCCUACGGGAGGCAGCAGUUAGGAAUUUUCCGCAAUGGAGGCAACUCUGACGGAGCAACGCCGCGUGCAGGAGGAAGGUUUUCGGAUCGUAAACUGCUUUUCUCGGGGACGAGCAAGGACGGUACCCGAGGAAGAAGCCCCGGCUAACUACGUGCCAGCAGCCGC